Molecule: small nuclear RNA, 106 nt
Filed under: Carlito syrichta (Philippine tarsier)
Lineage: Eukaryota; Metazoa; Chordata; Mammalia; Primates; Tarsiidae
Source: RNAcentral
AUGCUUGCUUCAGCAGCACAUACACCAAGAUUGAAGUGAUACAGAGAAGAUGAGCAUGGCCCCUGCGCAAGGAAGAGACCAAGUCCGUGAAGUGUUCCAUAUUUGU